AGUGAACGCUGGCGGUAGGCCUAACACAUGCAAGUCGAACGGCAGCACAGGAGAGCUUGCUCUCUGGGUGGCGAGUGGCGGACGGGUGAGGAAUACAUCGGAAUCUGCCCAGUCGUGGGGGAUAACGUAGGGAAACUUACGCUAAUACCGCAUACGACCUUCGGGUGAAAGAGGGGGAUCGCAAGACCUCUCGCGAUUGGAUGAGCCGAUGUCGGAUUAGCUAGUUGGCGGGGUACUGGCCCACCAAGGCGACGAUCCGUAGCUGGUCUGAGAGGAUGAUCAGCCACACUGGAACUGAGACACGGUCCAGACUCCUACGGGAGGCAGCAGUGGGGAAUAUUGGACAAUGGGCGCAAGCCUGAUCCAGCCAUACCGCGUGGGUGAAGAAGGCCUUCGGGUUGUAAAGCCCUUUUGUUGGGAAAGAAAUCUUUCAGGCUAAUACCCUGGGAGGAUGACGGUACCCAAAGAAUAAGCACCGGCUAACUUCGUG
Molecule: ribosomal RNA, 490 nt
Filed under: uncultured bacterium
Lineage: Bacteria
Description: partial 16S ribosomal RNA
Rfam family: Bacterial small subunit ribosomal RNA
Source: RNAcentral